GACGAACGCUGGCGGCGUGCUUAACACAUGCAAGUCGAACGGAAAGGCCCUGCUUUUGUGGGGUGCUCGAGUGGCGAACGGGUGAGUAACACGUGAGUACCCUGCCCUGGCCUUUGGUUUAACUUCAGGAAAUGGGGGCUAAUACCGUAUGGGAUCUCCUGCGUCUGGUGGGGGGUGGGAAAGUUUCGGCGGUUGGGUAGGGACUGGCGGCUUAUCAGCUUGUUGGUGGGGUAGUGGCUUACCAAGGCUUUGACGGGUAGCCGGCCUGACAGGGUGACCGGCAACAUUGGGACUGAGAUACGGCCCAGCCUCCUACGGGAGGCAGCAGUGGGGAAUAUUGCACAAUGGGCGGAAGCCUGAUGCAGCAACGCCGCGUGCGGGAUGACGGCCUUCGGGUUGUAAACCGCUUUCGCCUGUGACGAAGCGUGAGUGACGGUAAUGGGUAAAGAAGCACCGGCUAACUACGUG
RNAcentral lists this ribosomal RNA (468 nucleotides) under uncultured bacterium. RNAcentral describes it as "partial 16S ribosomal RNA". It matches the Rfam family "Bacterial small subunit ribosomal RNA", at positions 28 to 507 of the family's 1533-position model. The record is from RNAcentral.